RNAcentral lists this ribosomal RNA (530 nucleotides) under uncultured bacterium. RNAcentral's name for it is "bacterial SSU rRNA". It matches the Rfam family "Bacterial small subunit ribosomal RNA", at positions 777 to 1308 of the family's 1533-position model. The record is from RNAcentral.
AAUAGAUACCCAGGUAGUCCAUGCCGUAAACGUUGGGCGCUAGAUGUGGGGACCAUUCCACGGUUUCCGUGUCGCAGCUAACGCAUUAAGCGCCCCGCCUGGGGAGUACGGCCGCAAGGCUAAAACUCAAAGGAAUUGACGGGGGCCCGCACAAGCGGCGGAGCAUGCGGAUUAAUUCGAUGCAACGCGAAGAACCUUACCAAGGCUUGACAUAUACGAGAACGCUCUAGAAAUAGAGAACUCUUUGGACACUCGUAUACAGGUGGUGCAUGGUUGUCGUCAGCUCGUGUCGUGAGAUGUUGGGUUAAGUCCCGCAACGAGCGCAACCCUCGUUCUAUGUUGCCAGCGGUUCGGCCGGGAACUCAUAGGAGACUGCCGGGGUCAACUCGGAGGAAGGUGGGGAUGACGUCAAAUCAUCAUGCCCCUUAUGUCUUGGGCUUCACGCAUGCUACAAUGGCCGGUACAAAGGGCUGCAAUACCGUAAGUGGAGCGAAUCCCAAAAGCCGGUCUCAGUUCGGAUUGAGGUCUGC